UUGUGGCCACAUCACAUUGAACCACUGGUUCCCUUACGAUCACCAAAGUUAAACAACAUCAAGUAUGGUCAGUAGUUAGAUGGGUGACCACUUGGUAAUACCAGUUGCUGUAAG
This is a non-coding RNA of Acanthosepion pharaonis, 114 nucleotides long. NCBI's taxonomy places the organism in Eukaryota, Metazoa, Mollusca, Cephalopoda, Sepiida, Sepiidae. The record is from the annotation of a GenBank genome assembly.